RNA transcript from Phalaenopsis equestris, 1418 nucleotides. It is a transcript of the gene named phosphoglucan phosphatase DSP4, amyloplastic, with no coding region annotated. The record is from RefSeq and is a predicted model, not a curated record. Lineage: Eukaryota; Viridiplantae; Streptophyta; Magnoliopsida; Asparagales; Orchidaceae.
GCAUCAUCAGGUUCUGCUCAGAGCAGUGAAAAGGGUGGCAUUGACGUGCAAAAAGAGAAAUCUGAAGAAUAUAGCGAUAACAUGAAACAAGCUAUGGGUGCAGUGCUAACCUAUCGGCAUGAGCUUGGGAUGAACUACAACUUUAUUCUUCCAGACUUAAUUGUUGGUUCUUGCCUACAGAAUCCAUCAGAUGUUGACAAGCUUGUCAAAAUCGGGGUUAGAACCAUAUUUUGCUUGCAGCAGAAUGCAGACUUGGAAUAUUUUGGGGUUGACAUCCAAGAGAUUGAAGAUUAUGCCGAAAAAUGUGAGAAUAUUGAGCAUAUUCGUGCCGAAAUCAGGGAUUUUGAUGGCUUUGAUCUGAGGAUGAGGCUCCCUACUGUUGUCAGCCGAUUACAUAAGGCUAUAAAGAAUAAUGGUGGUGUGACCUAUGUGCAUUGCACUGCGGGUCUUGGAAGAGCACCUGCUGUUACGUUGGCCUAUAUGUACUGGGUUCUAGGAUAUAAACUAAGCGAAGCACAUAAAGUUCUUUUGAGCAAAAGAUCGUGCUGUCCAAAAUUGGAGGCUAUAAGAAGUGCCACUGCUGAUAUUCUCACAGGUCUAUCAAGAGGCCGUGUCAGAUUAUCGUGGAAAGGUGGUAAAUACUCCUCUGUAGAAAUUUCUGGUCUUGAUAUUGGUUGGGGCCAGAGAAUUCCCUUAAAAUUUAAUUCCUCUGAAGGUGUAUGGCUUCUGGAGAGAGACUUGCCUGAAGGGCUCUAUGAGUAUAAGUACAUAGUAGAUGGUGAAUGGAUCUGUAAUACUUCUGAGUUAAUGACAAGUCCACAAGGGGAUGGUCAUGUCAAUAACUACGUUUGUGUCCCAUGCACUGAUACUGAUUCCAAGUCUACAGCACUGCGAAAGCGUUUGAUAGAGGAAGAUGAUCUCACAUUGCUGGAAAGGCAGAUAAUUCUGGAGUUCCUGGAACAGUCAUAGUUCAGAUAGCAAACCAAGGCAUAUGUAAGGAUUGAGAGAAGAUCAACUAUCCCUUUCAUCGAUAUGUUUGAACUCUAUGCUAACUUGCUACGAGAUAGUUGUGAGAGGGGAAAAAAUGGAAAUUCAAUGCAAUUUUGUGAAGUACACUUUCCGAUAGGACAACUUCAAUAAGGACCAACACUUUAUUUGCUGAAAGUUCAUUGUUAUCUGUUGGAAGUCUUUGGUAUUGGUGGAAAUGUCUUAAAUAUCAGUAAUGGGGCUCUCCUUUGAGCUGAUGGUUUCGCUUCUUUGCCUUGAUAAAAGAAAAAAGUGCGGAUGACUUGUAUAACUUAUAACUUUGUUCAUGGAAACGCCGAUCUUUUAUAAUUUUGGUGUUUUUGAAAGCUCAAGGAAAUAGUUUAGUCACAUAUUGCAUAGUUGGAAUAUAAUUUAAUGUUUACAUGCCAAAU